Molecule: ribosomal RNA, 486 nt
Filed under: uncultured bacterium
Lineage: Bacteria
Description: partial 16S ribosomal RNA
Rfam family: Bacterial small subunit ribosomal RNA
Source: RNAcentral
AUUGAACGCUGGCGGCAUGCCUUACACAUGCAAGUCGAACGGCAGCACGGGUGCUUGCACCUGGUGGCGAGUGGCGAACGGGUGAGUAAUACAUCGGAACAUGUCCUGUAGUGGGGGAUAGCCCGGCGAAAGCCGGAUUAAUACCGCAUACGAUCUACGGAUGAAAGCGGGGGACCUUCGGGCCUCGCGCUAUAGGGUUGGCCGAUGGCUGAUUAGCUAGUUGGUGGGGUAAAGGCCUACCAAGGCGACGAUCAGUAGCUGGUCUGAGAGGACGACCAGCCACACUGGGACUGAGACACGGCACAGACUCCUACGGGAGGCAGCAGUGGGGAAUUGUGGACAAUGGGCGAAAGCCUGAUACAGCAAUGCGGCGUGUGUGAAGAAGGCCUUCGGGUUGUAAAGCACUUUUGUCCGGAAAGAAAUCCUUGGCUCUAAUACAGUCGGGGGAUGACGGUACCGGAAGAAUAAGCACCGGCUAACUACGUG